CAGCAGCCGCGGUAAUACGUAGGUGGCAAGCGUUGUCCGGAAUUAUUGGGCGUAAAGCGCGCGCAGGUGGUUUAAUAAGUCUGAUGUGAAAGCCCACGGCUCAACCGUGGAGGGUCAUUGGAAACUGUUAAACUUGAGUGCAGGAGAGAAAAGUGGAAUUCCUAGUGUAGCGGUGAGAUGCGUAGAGAUUAGGAGGAACACCAGUGGCGAAGGCGGCUUUUUGGCCUGUAACUGACACUGAGGCGCGAAAGCGUGGGGAGCAAACAGGAUUAGAUACCCCCGUAGUCCCUGUCUCUUAUAC
Molecule: ribosomal RNA, 301 nt
Filed under: uncultured bacterium
Lineage: Bacteria
Description: partial 16S ribosomal RNA
Rfam family: Bacterial small subunit ribosomal RNA
Source: RNAcentral